AAAUUGAAGAGUUUGAUCAUGGCUCAGAUUGAACGCUGGCGGCAGGCCUAACACAUGCAAGUCGAACGGUAGCACAGAGAGCUUGCUCUCGGGUGACGAGUGGCGGACGGGUGAGUAAUGUCUGGGAAACUGCCUGAUGGAGGGGGAUAACUACUGGAAACGGUAGCUAAUACCGCAUAACGUCGCAAGACCAAAGAGGGGGACCUUCGGGCCUCUUGCCAUCAGAUGUGCCCAGAUGGGAUUAGCUAGUAGGUGGGGUAACGGCUCACCUAGGC
Molecule: ribosomal RNA, 275 nt
Filed under: Enterobacter cloacae
Lineage: Bacteria; Pseudomonadati; Pseudomonadota; Gammaproteobacteria; Enterobacterales; Enterobacteriaceae
Description: partial 16S ribosomal RNA
Rfam family: Bacterial small subunit ribosomal RNA
Source: RNAcentral